Long non-coding RNA from Nycticebus coucang (slow loris), 2545 nucleotides. RefSeq lists it as uncharacterized. The transcript has 3 exons. The record is from RefSeq and is a predicted model, not a curated record. NCBI's taxonomy places the organism in Eukaryota, Metazoa, Chordata, Mammalia, Primates, Lorisidae.
AGAGGUCCAUAUCAAAGGUCGACAGCUAACAAAAUAAACCUACAAAGGCAUCAAUAAAAGCCUUGAGGACGGAGGCCCUGGGCUGCUCCCAGGAGCAUCAUGCCAGCCCCCUGUCUCCCUUAUCCAUCUUUAGUCAACAUGGAGCCACCUGACAAGCAAUAAUCACCAUUAAAACAGCCGACAGUGAGGUAUCCACAGAUUGCCGAAAGGUCCAUCCUGGCACCAGAAGCGACCAGGUCAAACCUCACCAGAAGAGGCCGAGUUGGACUAGAAGACUUGCCAGGAGGAAGGACAGCCUGUGCUCCAAAGGUUCAAAAAUGGGCCAGAGCAAAGUGACCUGGAGCAGAGAUGAGGGACACUGGGAAGGAUUUACACGAUCCAUCAGCAUUCGUUUUAUAGGUGAGAGGAGCUGCUCCUCCAAGGCAGUGUGUUCCCUGGGAAAGUUCCUCCACCUUUGUAUAUGGAUACGAGUACUUGUGAUAUUGGAGUCAACAGAAAAUGGACCUUGAAUUUCUCUGCUUCUUCACCCCCCUCUCCCUUCCUCCAAUCCAAGCCAUUGACAUGUUUGCUAGCAGUGUUCUGAGAAGCCAUGCCUCUGAGGGACAUCAGUGGUGUAUAGCAGCUCUUCUGGAGAAGGACAAUGUUCUGAAGACAAUGCCCACCUUGGCCUUGACAGAACACUCUUUAAUAAUCCCCAGAGAUUCUGCCAUUUGAGCAAAGCUGUCAUACCCAAUGGAUUUUCCUGUGGUCCACCCAUGGAUGGACUCUCUGGCCAAUGUUCUACUUCCUGUUAUCUUCUACUCGGAGACAGUUCAUCAUCCACAAGGCUGUUGAAUCUUCAUCUGGCUUGCAAAACCCCUCAGAGGUGUCUUUCUGUAUGGAGAAGAAAUGGCCAAAGGCAAUAUUAGAUGCUGACAUGAACCCUCUGGAGCUGGGCUGGAGUUGGAGACAUCAGGAUGAACCCCCUAUUUAGCUUAAUGAUAAGACAGAUACCUGCAUACAGACAGGUUAGCAAACAUGCACACUUUCCCCAGCUGUGUCCCCCAAGAGGGUCUGGGAAGGUGGUACCCCAGUAACAAAUACAACCUAAGUGCCCAGGUCAUGAUUUCUAAACACCAUUCUCCAAUAAAAGAAAUCAGAACUCCUUGGAGAAAUACAAGAUUAGGCUGUAGGAUUCUAGGAAAAUAUAAGAUGAGCCUUACAAGUGGCAAAAGAUCAGAGUUUAUUUUAUUUUUAUUUUUAUUUAUUUAUUUAUUUAUUUUAAGGCAGAGUCUCACUUUGUCACCCCCUGGUAAAGUGCUGUGGCAUCACAGCUCACAGCAAACUCAGACUCUUGUGCUCAAGCAUUUCUCUUGCCUCAGCCUCCUGAGUAAGCUGGAACUGCAGGCACCUGCCACAACGCCCAGCUAGUUUUAGAGAUGGAGUCUCACUCUAGCUCAGGCGGGUCUCAAACUCGUGAGCUCAGGUAAUCCACCUUGGCCUCCCAGAGUGCUGGGAUCACAGGCGGCAGCCACCGUGCCCGGCCAGAUCAGAGUGUUUAAAAAAAAGGACAGCAGCAUGUCGAAAGGACAGAAGGGUCAACCUGAAAGAGCUGCUGAGGGCCAAGGUUAGAACAAGCUAAACGAUAUAAUAAAUAACAAUUGUAUUGGACUAUAACCCCCCAAAUAAAAUAAAUACCCCAAAGUCUAUGCGGAUAUAAACACAUGCUUGAAUAAGUAAAUAAAUCAGUGUUUUUCAACCAUUUUUAUCUUAUGGCACACUUGAACCUAUAGUUUAGCUUCUGUGGCACACCUAAAUUAUGUUCAUAAAAAAAAAAAGAGUAAAAAAAGAAUAUACUUACUGUGCUUUGAACUUCUUUUGAAAAUAAUUCAAUGAUCUUUAAAAAAUUUCACAGAACACCUAAGAUUCUCUUACGGCACACAGAUUGAAAAUCAGUGAAAUAAAUAGUGGAAAUGGUAAAUCUUUUUUUUUUUAAAUAGCUUUCUAAUAACAAAUGUAAAAAGAUGAGGGAAAUAGCAAAUUACCUUCAGAACACCAUUAAAUAUCACCACCAGUAAUAACUGCCUCAGGCUAGGUCUUCUGAUGAAGGUUUAAAUGAGUCGAUGAAACUUUAAACAGGAUAUUUACAUGACCUCAAACUUUGUCCUCCCAAAUAUGUAUUCAUUGCUGUGUUGGUUUUGAUAUAUGUCCUAAGUGUCUUGAUAACUCUUUCCUGCAGGAGGUGGAAUUAAAUUCCUUCCUCUAGUGUGGGCAAGAGUUGUGACUCACUUGUAAUGACUUGAGUGUGGGGAGGGACAAAGAGCAGUUAAGAGUGAGGAGAUCUGGCCGACAGGUGAGUAUCACCUGGGUGGGCAUGUUGAUAUCAUGGACCCACUGGUAUCAUACGAUGAGAUGCAAAUCAUUCCUGUGCAUUCUUACCCCACAUCCAUAACCUCAGUCUAAUCAUCAGAGAAACAUCAGACAAGCCCAAGCUGAAGCGCAUUCCACAAAAUACCUGACCGGUGUCAAGGUCAGGGUCACGAACAACAAUGCAAGGAAAAGAAAC